GACCGGCGCACGGUGGAGUAACGCGUAUGCUACUUACCUAUCAGAGGGGGAUAGCCCGGCGAAAGGCGGAUUAAUACUCCAUAAAACAGGGGUUCCGCAUGGGACUAUUUGUUAAAGAUUCAUCGCUGAUAGAUAGGCAUGCGUUCCAUUAGGCAGUUGGCGGGGUAACGGCCCACCAAACCGACGAUGGAUAGGGGUUCUGAGAGGAAGGUCCCCCACAUUGGUACUGAGACACGGACCAAACUCCUACGGGAGGCAGCAGUGAGGAAUAUUGGUCAAUGGCCGAGAGGCUGAACCAGCCAAGUCGCGUGAAGGAUGAAGGAUCUAUGGUUUGUAAACUUCUUUUAUAGGGGAAUAAAGUGUGGGACGUGUCCCAUUUUGUAUGUACCCUAUGAAUAAGCAUCGGCUAACUCCGUGCCAGCAGCCGCGGUAAUACGGAGGUGCGAGCGUUAUCCGGAUUUAUUGGGUUUAAAGGGUGCGUAGGUGGUAAUUUAAGUCAGCGGUGAAAGUUUGUGGCUCAACCAUAAAAUUGCCGUUGAAACUGGGUUACUUGAGUGUGUUUGAGGUAGGCGGAAUGCGUGGUGUAGCGGUGAAAUGCAUAGAUAUCACGCAGAACUCCAAUUGCGAAGGCAGCUUACUAAACCAUAACUGACACUGAAGCACGAAAGCGUGGGUAUCAAACAGGAUUAGAUACCCUGGUAGUCCACGCAGUAAACGAUGAUUACUAGGAGUUUGCGAUACACAGUAAGCUCUACAGCGAAAGCGUUAAGUAAUCCACCUGGGGAGUACGCCGGCAACGGUGAAACUCAAAGGAAUUGACGGGGGCCCGCACAAGCGGAGAACAUGUGGUUUAAUUCGAUGAUACGCGAGGAACCUUACCCGGGUUUGAACGUAGUCAGACCGGCCUUGAAAGAGGUCUUCUAGCAAUAGCUGAUUACGAGGUGCUGCAUGGUUGUCGUCAGCUCGUGCCGUGAGGUGUCGGCUUAAGUGCCAUAACGAGCGCAACCCUUAUCACUAGUUACUAACAGGUUAAGCUGAGGACUCUGGUGAGACUGCCAGCGUAAGCUGUGAGGAAGGUGGGGAUGACGUCAAAUCAGCACGGCCCUUACAUCCGGGGCGACACACGUGUUACAAUGGCAUGGACAAAGGGCAGCUACCUGGCGACAGGAUGCUAAUCUCUAAACCAUGUCUCAGUUCGGAUCGGAGUCUGCAACUCGACUCCGUGAAGCUGGAUUCGCUAGUAAUCGCGCAUCAGCCAUGGCGCGGUGAAUACGUUCCCGGGCCUUGUACACACCGCCCGUCAAGCCAUGGGAGCCGGGGGUACCUGAAGUCCGUAACCGCAAG
This 1344-nucleotide ribosomal RNA is filed under the name Parabacteroides johnsonii. RNAcentral describes it as "bacterial SSU rRNA". It matches the Rfam family "Bacterial small subunit ribosomal RNA", at positions 93 to 1445 of the family's 1533-position model. Lineage: Bacteria; Pseudomonadati; Bacteroidota; Bacteroidia; Bacteroidales; Tannerellaceae. The record is from RNAcentral. RNAcentral also lists the same sequence under 1 other name.